This 579-nucleotide ribosomal RNA is filed under the name Cytospora hippophaes. RNAcentral describes it as "eukaryotic LSU rRNA". It matches the Rfam family "Eukaryotic large subunit ribosomal RNA", at positions 52 to 654 of the family's 3401-position model. The record is from RNAcentral. Lineage: Eukaryota; Fungi; Ascomycota; Sordariomycetes; Diaporthales; Cytosporaceae.
GGAGGAAAAGAAACCAACAGGGAUUGCCCUAGUAACGGCGAGUGAAGCGGCAACAGCUCAAAUUUGAAAGCUGGCUUAGGCCCGCAUUGUAAUUUGCAGAGGAUGCUUCUGGCGAGGUGCCUUCCGAGUUCCCUGGAACGGGACGCCAUAGAGGGUGAGAGCCCCGUAUGGAUGGACACCAAACCUGUGUGAAGCUCCUUCAACGAGUCGAGUAGUUUGGGAAUGCUGCUCUAAAUGGGAGGUAAAUCUCUUCUAAAGCUAAAUACCGGCCAGAGACCGAUAGCGCACAAGUAGAGUGAUCGAAAGAUGAAAAGCACCUUGAAAAGGGGGUUAAACAGUACGUGAAAUUGUUGAAAGGGAAGCGCUUGUGACCAGACUUGCGCCGGGCAGCUCAUCAGGGGUUCUCCCCUGUGCACUCUGCCCGGCUCAGGCCAGCAUCGGUUUUCGUGGGAGGAUAAGAACGGCAGGAACGUGGCCCCCCUUCGGGGGGGUGUUAUAGCCUGCCGUACGAUACUCCCGUGGGGACCGAGGUUCGCGCUCCGCAAGGAUGCUGGCGUAAUGGUCAUCAGCGACCCGUCU